This 236-nucleotide ribosomal RNA is filed under the name uncultured bacterium. RNAcentral's name for it is "partial 16S ribosomal RNA". It matches the Rfam family "Bacterial small subunit ribosomal RNA", at positions 100 to 334 of the family's 1533-position model. The record is from RNAcentral.
CGGGACGGGUGAGUAACGCGUGGGUAACCUGCCUUGUACUGGGGGACGAACAUUAGAAAUGACUGCUAAUACCGCAUAAGCGCACAGUAUCGCAUGAUACAGUGUGAAAAACUCCGGUGGUACAAGAUGGACCCGCGUCUGAUUAGCUAGUUGGUAAGGUAAGGGCUUACCAAGGCGACGAUCAGUAGCCGACCUGAGAGGGUGACCGGCCACAUUGGGACUGAGACACGGCCCAA